Molecule: ribosomal RNA, 253 nt
Filed under: uncultured bacterium
Lineage: Bacteria
Description: partial 16S ribosomal RNA
Rfam family: Bacterial small subunit ribosomal RNA
Source: RNAcentral
GACAGAGGGUGCAAGCGUUGUUCGGAAUUACUGGGCGUAAAGAGCUCGUAGGCGGUUUGUCGCGUCUGCCGUGAAAGUCCGGGGCUCAACUCCGGAUCUGCGGUGGGUACGGGCAGACUAGAGUGAUGUAGGGGGGACUGGAAUUCCUGGUGUAGCGGUGAAAUGCGCAGAUAUCAGGAGGAACACCGAUGGCGAAGGCAGGUCUCUGGGCAUUAACUGACGCUGAGGAGCGAAAGCCAGGGGAGCAAACGGG